CAAAUCUUAGCGGUGGAUCACUCGGUUC
RNAcentral lists this ribosomal RNA (28 nucleotides) under Ascaris suum (pig roundworm). Its description in RNAcentral is "partial 5.8S ribosomal RNA". The record is from RNAcentral. Lineage: Eukaryota; Metazoa; Nematoda; Chromadorea; Rhabditida; Ascarididae.